Molecule: ribosomal RNA, 253 nt
Filed under: uncultured bacterium
Lineage: Bacteria
Description: partial 16S ribosomal RNA
Rfam family: Bacterial small subunit ribosomal RNA
Source: RNAcentral
UACGGGGGGGGCAAGCGUUGUUCGGAAUUACUGGGCGUAAAGGGCUCGUAGGCGGCCAACUAAGUCAUACGUGAAAUCCCUCGGCUUAACCGGGGAACUGCGUCUGAUACUGGAUGGCUUGAGUUCGGGAGAGGGAUGCGGAAUUCCAGGUGUAGCGGUGAAAUGCGUAGAUAUCUGGAGGAACACCGGUGGCGAAGGCGGCAUCCUGGACCAUAACUGACGCUGAGGCGCGAAAGCUAGGGGAGCAAACGGG